GACGAACGCUGGCGGCGUGCUUAACACAUGCAAGUCGAACGGAAAGGUCCUGCUUGCAGGGUACUCGAGUGGCGAACGGGUGAGUAACACGUGGGUGAUCUGCCCUGCACUUCGGGAUAAGCCUGGGAAACCGGGUCUAAUACCGGAUAGGAGCCAUUUUUAGUGUGAUGGUUGGAAAGUUUUUUCGGUGUAGGAUGAGCUCGCGGCCUAUCAGCUUGUUGGUGGGGUAAUGGCCUACCAAGGCGGCGACGGGUAGCCGGCCUGAGAGGGUGGACCGCCACAUUGGGACUGAGAUACGGCACAGACUCCUACGGGAGGCAGAAGUGGGGAAUAUUGCACAAUGGGCGCAAGCCUGAUGCAGCGACGCCGCGUGGGGGAUGACGGCCUUCGGGUUGUAAACUACUUUCGCUAGGGACGAAGCUUUUUGUGACGGUACCUAGAUAAGAAGCACCGGCUAACUACGUG
RNAcentral lists this ribosomal RNA (465 nucleotides) under uncultured bacterium. RNAcentral's name for it is "partial 16S ribosomal RNA". It matches the Rfam family "Bacterial small subunit ribosomal RNA", at positions 28 to 507 of the family's 1533-position model. The record is from RNAcentral.